AGUGAACGCUGGCGGCGUGCCUAAUACAUGCAAGUCGAACGGAGUGGCGCACGGGGGAGUAAUGUAUAGCUAAUCAGCGCUACACUAGAGGAAAACAAUUGGAAAAGGCUGCUAAUACUCUAUAGUGUAGGAUGAGGCUAUAUUGUAUCAGGUAGUUGGUGAGGUAAUGGCUCCCCAAGGCUAUGACGCAUAACUGGUCAGGGAGGAUGAGCCGUCACCCUGGAACUGAGACACCGUCCAGACUCCUACGGGAGGCAGCAGUAGGGAAUAUUGCUCAAUGGGGGAAACCCUGAAGCAGCAACGCCGCGUGGAGGAUGACACUUUUCGGAGCGUAAACUCCUUUUGUUAGGGAAGCGGUACCUAACGAAUAAGCACCGGCUAACUCCGUGCCAGCAGCCGCGGUAAUUC
Molecule: ribosomal RNA, 408 nt
Filed under: uncultured bacterium
Lineage: Bacteria
Description: partial 16S ribosomal RNA
Rfam family: Bacterial small subunit ribosomal RNA
Source: RNAcentral